This is a microRNA precursor of Brassica oleracea var. oleracea, 125 nucleotides long. It matches the Rfam family "MIR9563 microRNA precursor family". NCBI's taxonomy places the organism in Eukaryota, Viridiplantae, Streptophyta, Magnoliopsida, Brassicales, Brassicaceae. The record is from Rfam.
GGAAUAUAAGAACCCGUCUCUUAACUUUUAACUAAAAAAACUAAGAAUCGGUUCUUAAAUAAGAGUAUUAAGAGCCGGUUCUUAACUUUUUUAGUUAAAAGUUAAGAGACAGAUUCUUAUAUUCU